CCUACGGGUGGCUGCAGUGGGGAAUAUUGGACAAUGGGGGGAACCCUGAUCCAGCCAUGCCGCGUGUGUGAAGAAGGCCCUCGGGUUGUAAAGCACUUUCAGUGAGGAAGAACGCCUGGUGGUUAAUACCCAUCAGGAAAGACAUCACUCACAGAAGAAGCCCCGGCUAACUCCGUGCCAGCAGCCGCGGUAAUACGGAGGGUGCGAGCGUUAAUCGGAAUUACUGGGCGUAAAGCGCGCGUAGGUGGCUUGAUAAGCCGGUUGUGAAAGCCCCGGGCUCAACCUGGGAACGGCAUCCGGAACUGUCAAGCUAGAGUGCAGGAGAGGAAGGUAGAAUUCCCGGUGUAGCGGUGAAAUGCGUAGAGAUCGGGAGGAAUACCAGUGGCGAAGGCGGCCUUCUGGACUGACACUGACACUGAGGUGCGAAAGCGUGGGUAGCAAACAGGAUUAGAUACCCCAGUAGUC
This 465-nucleotide ribosomal RNA is filed under the name Vreelandella stevensii. RNAcentral describes it as "partial 16S ribosomal RNA". It matches the Rfam family "Bacterial small subunit ribosomal RNA", at positions 338 to 795 of the family's 1533-position model. Lineage: Bacteria; Pseudomonadati; Pseudomonadota; Gammaproteobacteria; Oceanospirillales; Halomonadaceae. The record is from RNAcentral.